Molecule: long non-coding RNA, 419 nt
Organism: Ochotona princeps (American pika)
Lineage: Eukaryota; Metazoa; Chordata; Mammalia; Lagomorpha; Ochotonidae
Exons: 3
Source: RefSeq, a predicted model, not a curated record
AAGUCCUCCCGCGCCCGGCCGGCACCAAAGAAAGCCGGCCCUGCAACUUUCAAGUUCGGGACGGAGGAGGGCAGAGACCGAGGCGCUGUCCGGAAAAGAAGGACAGGAGAUGCCGCCGUCCUGGGGGACGCAAGGGACCGUCAGCCCUAGGCUACACCGGAAAUCCAGACACUGACCCCAGCCCAGAAUUCCCGAGAAGGCGGCUUCCAGUCACUUCCAGUGAGGAAACUGAGGCCUUGUGAGCGAAAUGGAAGAAAAACAACAACAAAUGUGUCCAAGGCCACACUGCUGAAAUUUCAUCAGAGCCCUUGCCCUUGGCGUUGGCGCAAACCCACCCACGCAGCGGCGGUGCAGAUUUCCUGCCCUCAAAUGCUCCUUGGGUCCCUUGACUGUCUGAAAUCCGUCUCACGAAAGAGAAA